GUUUUGCAGGUAUGGAGCCAAGACAAAUCUUUCCACCUGGAGAUGGGACAGACAAAGGGGCAGACAAUUUUUCUUUUUCUUUUUUUGUAUUCAGCAUACAAAAAUCAUGUAUACAGGGAACUAGGCAGAGGGCCUUCUCGGUAGUGGCCCCCGCCCUGUGGAAUGCCCUCCCACCAGAUGUCAAAGAGAACAACAACUACCAGACUUUUAGAAGACAUCUGAAGGCAGCUCUUCUUUAGGGAAGCUUUUAAUGUUUGAUGCAUUACUGUAUUUUAAUAUUUUGUUGGAAGCUGCCCAGAGUAGCUGGGGAAGCCCAGCCAGAUGGGCAGGGUAUAAAUAAAUAAAUUAUUAUUUAUUAUUAUUAGACUCAAGUAACCUCACAAGGAAGGAGCUGUUACAGUUGUCUAUCAUCCCAGUCUUCUUCUUUCAUACUUGGUUUCUUGCUUUUUAAAAACGGCAUCCAGAACCUUUGUCGAGAGGUUUCCAUGCACAACAAAGUGACUGGUAUGUGGAUGAUAGCAUCACUCAGUGGCUCCACAGCUGGAUGUCCUUCCCAACUGAAUUACAGAACAAGCAGGAAGAUACACCCCAAUCCUUGCUACACAGGACAGGUGGAGAAUGUGUGUACCAGAUGUGUGUAGCACACAAGCUCUUCCAAUUUGGGUAGGUCAUCUGAUCAUAUGGUACCCUGCCUGUGUGACUCUACCUCAGAGUUACAACUGUUUUGAGCAUGUCCUUAGCCUCUUCAGCAUCCCCCUCAAAGUCCCCUCUUUAUCUCUCGCUUUAGGAUUUCAGACAGGGACUCUUUCCCAGCCCUGCCUGGCACCUUCUGCAUGCAAAGCAGAUGCUCAGCCACUGAGCUACAGCCUUUCCAGAAAACAGCCUAAUAGGCACUGGCAGAAGUGAGAUUCAAGAAGUAUUGUAAUCUUCAUUAAAUAUCUUCAACCAUACGUUACACUAUAUGCCAUAAUAUUUUAAUUGGUAGCUUAAUCAAUAAGUUAGUUAAGAGCAAGGCAAUUAAUCUGCAAAAAAUCCUUAAACCAGUUAACAACUGUAAUUGUCAGUAUACAUUAGCAUCAUAUAGGAUUAUCAGACUUCGUGAAGUAUUAAGCUUCAAUAAACUUUCAUUAUUAACAGAC
Non-coding RNA from Podarcis lilfordi (Lilford's wall lizard), 1139 nucleotides. The record is from the annotation of a GenBank genome assembly. NCBI's taxonomy places the organism in Eukaryota, Metazoa, Chordata, Lepidosauria, Squamata, Lacertidae.